Molecule: long non-coding RNA, 274 nt
Filed under: Capsicum annuum
Lineage: Eukaryota; Viridiplantae; Streptophyta; Magnoliopsida; Solanales; Solanaceae
Description: long non-coding RNA (CANN_LNC020160)
Source: RNAcentral
CGUAUAGAGACAGACCUGCGAGAGGAAGAGACCCGAGAAGGGUCGACCCCUAGAAACUUCAGGUCUAUCGAUCCAUCAGGGUGUUGAAUCACCCUUUCGAUCUGGGAUUGUUCGGAGUAACUCCGAACAGGGUGGGUGAUAGCCUCAAAAUGCCAAUCAUUACUAUGUAGGAUAUCAUCCCAAACUAGAGCCUUUGGAACAAAGACUGUGCUACAAUCUUUGUUUGCUUCCAUUAGGGUGGUGACCCCUUUAGGGCUCGUGAAUCUAGCUUUAG